GGAGACGUAUUCGUCCUGGUGGGCGGCACAGCCUUCAAAGCUGUUGAGGCCGAGGAUCUCGGUCUGGCGGGUUCGAUUCCCGUCCGUCUCCGCCA
RNAcentral lists this transfer RNA (95 nucleotides) under Actinomycetota bacterium. RNAcentral's name for it is "tRNA-Sec". It matches the Rfam family "Selenocysteine transfer RNA". Lineage: Bacteria; Bacillati; Actinomycetota. The record is from RNAcentral.